CAGCAGCCGCGGUAAUACGGAGGGGGCUAGCGUUGUUCGGAAUUACUGGGCGUAAAGCGCACGUAGGCGGCUUGGUAAGUUAGAGGUGAAAGCCCGGAGCUCAACUCCGGAAUUGCCUUUAAGACUGCCGAGCUAGUAGGUGAGAGAGGUAAGUGGAAUUCCGAGUGUAGAGGUGAAAUUCGUAGAUAUUCGGAAGAACACCAGUGGCGAAGGCGGCUCACUGGACGACUGUUGACGCUGAGGUGCGAAAGCGUGGGGAGCAAACAGGAUUAGAUACCCGCGUAGUCCCUGUCUCUUAUAU
RNAcentral lists this ribosomal RNA (301 nucleotides) under uncultured bacterium. RNAcentral describes it as "partial 16S ribosomal RNA". It matches the Rfam family "Bacterial small subunit ribosomal RNA", at positions 509 to 809 of the family's 1533-position model. The record is from RNAcentral.